RNAcentral lists this long non-coding RNA (209 nucleotides) under Elaeis guineensis (African oil palm). Its description in RNAcentral is "long non-coding RNA (EGUI_LNC075588)". The record is from RNAcentral. Lineage: Eukaryota; Viridiplantae; Streptophyta; Magnoliopsida; Arecales; Arecaceae.
CUAGCAACUGGACCCCUACUGGGCUUCACCAACAGAAAGUCUCCAUCCGAGCUUCCAUAGCAGAUGACUUCCACCUAUAGCAUCAGCACCUAAGGCAUCCGACAACAGUAAACUCGUCAACAGCCUCGAAAAUAUCUGAGCUUCUCCUAGAUCGGUAGUAUAGAGAGCUAUUUCUCUCCAUUAGACAUCCCAGUCAAGCUCCAGCCGAU